GGGGAAUAUUGCACAAUGGGCGCAAGCCUGAUGCAGCCAUGCCGCGUGUAUGAAGAAGGCCUUCGGGUUGUAAAGUACUUUCAGCGAGGAGGAAGGCGUUGUGGUUAAUAACCGCAGCGAUUGACGUUACUCGCAGAAGAAGCACCGGCUAACUCCGUGCCAGCAGCCGCGGUAAUACGGAGGGUGCAAGCGUUAAUCGGAAUUACUGGGCGUAAAGCGCACGCAGGCGGUCUGUCAAGUCGGAUGUGAAAUCCCCGGGCUCAACCUGGGAACUGCAUCCGAAACUGGCAGGCUAGAGUCUUGUAGAGGGGGGUAGAAUUCCAGGUGUAGCGGUGAAAUGCGUAGAGAUCUGGAGGAAUACCGGUGGCGAAGGCGGCCCCCUGGACAAAGACUGACGCUCAGGUGCGAAAGCGUGGGGAGCAAAC
RNAcentral lists this ribosomal RNA (425 nucleotides) under uncultured bacterium. RNAcentral describes it as "bacterial SSU rRNA". It matches the Rfam family "Bacterial small subunit ribosomal RNA", at positions 356 to 773 of the family's 1533-position model. The record is from RNAcentral.